Molecule: ribosomal RNA, 253 nt
Filed under: uncultured bacterium
Lineage: Bacteria
Description: partial 16S ribosomal RNA
Rfam family: Bacterial small subunit ribosomal RNA
Source: RNAcentral
UACGUAGGGUGCAGGCGUUAAUCGGAAUUACUGGGCGUAAAGCGUGCGUAGGCGGUUUCUUAAGUCAGAUGUGAAAGCCCCGGGCUUAACCUGGGAACUGCGUUUGAAACUGGGAGACUUGAGUGUGGCAGAGGGGGGUGGAAUUCCACGUGUAGCAGUGAAAUGCGUAGAUAUGUGGAGGAACACCGAUGGCGAAGGCAGCCCCCUGGGUUAACCCUGACGCUCAUGCACGAAAGCGUGGGGAGCAAACAGG